CCCCGGACUCGCGUCCGGGGCUAAAACCUGCCACCGCUUCGCGGUU
Small RNA from Rhodopirellula maiorica SM1, 46 nucleotides. It matches the Rfam family "Acido-Lenti-1 RNA". The record is from Rfam. NCBI's taxonomy places the organism in Bacteria, Pseudomonadati, Planctomycetota, Planctomycetia, Pirellulales, Pirellulaceae.